This is a long non-coding RNA of Lolium rigidum, 154 nucleotides long. RefSeq lists it as uncharacterized. The transcript has 3 exons. Lineage: Eukaryota; Viridiplantae; Streptophyta; Magnoliopsida; Poales; Poaceae. The record is from RefSeq and is a predicted model, not a curated record.
CGUUAAAUCUUCUACGUUCAUGGCUCCGCCCUUACUCCUCCGGGUGGUUUUUGGACGGAAACUGCUCCAUCCUCUCCGCAAUGGCGGCGGCGCUCUAGGUCCGCUGCAGUUACCUCGUCCUCGCCGUCUUCGGUGUUUGCCGGCGAUAUUUCCC